CCUACGGGCGGCAGCAGUGAGGAAUAUUGGUCAAUGGACGAGAGUCUGAACCAGCCAAGUAGCGUGAAGGAUGACUGCCCUAUGGGUUGUAAACUUCUUUUAUAUGGGAAUAAAAUGUUCCACGUGUGGGAUUUUGUAUGUACCAUAUGAAUAAGGAUCGGCUAACUCCGUGCCAGCAGCCGCGGUAAUACUGAGGAUCCGAGCGUUAUCCGGAUUUAUUGGGUUUAAAGGGAGCGUAGGUGGAUUGUUAAGUCAGUUGUGAAAGUUUGCGGCUCAACCGUAAAAUUGCAGUUGAAACUGGCAGUCUUGAGUACAGUAGAGGUGGGCGGAAUUCGUGGUGUAGCGGUGAAAUGCUUAGAUAUCACGAAGAACUCCGAUUGCGAAGGCAGUUCACUGGACUGCAACUGACACUGAGGCUCGAAAGUGUGGGUAUCAAACAGGAUUAGAUACCCGUGUAGUC
RNAcentral lists this ribosomal RNA (460 nucleotides) under uncultured bacterium. RNAcentral's name for it is "partial 16S ribosomal RNA". It matches the Rfam family "Bacterial small subunit ribosomal RNA", at positions 338 to 795 of the family's 1533-position model. The record is from RNAcentral.